Molecule: ribosomal RNA, 460 nt
Filed under: uncultured bacterium
Lineage: Bacteria
Description: partial 16S ribosomal RNA
Rfam family: Bacterial small subunit ribosomal RNA
Source: RNAcentral
CCUACGGGAGGCAGCAGUGAGGAAUAUUGGUCAAUGGGCGGAAGCCUGAACCAGCCAAGUAGCGUGCAGGAUGACGGCCCUACGGGUUGUAAACUGCUUUUAUACGGGAAUAACGCGCCUUACGUGUAGGGCUUUGCAUGUACCGUAUGAAUAAGGAUCGGCUAAUUCCGUGCCAGCAGCCGCGGUAAUACGGAAGGUCCGGGCGUUAUCCGGAUUUAUUGGGUUUAAAGGGAGCGUAGGGCGCAUGUAAAGCGUGCUGUGAAAGGUGCGGGCUCAACCCGGGCCUUGCAGCGCGAACUGGCGUGCUUGAGUCCGGGAAAGGCAGGCGGAAUUCGUGGUGGAGCGGUGAAAUGCUUAGAUAUGACGAAGAACCCCGAUUGCGAAGGCAGCUUGCUGCAGCGGAACUGACGCUGAUGCUCGAAAGCGCGGGUAUCGAACAGGAUUAGAUACCCCAGUAGUC